Molecule: ribosomal RNA, 1368 nt
Filed under: human gut metagenome
Description: bacterial LSU rRNA
Rfam family: Bacterial large subunit ribosomal RNA
Source: RNAcentral
CACGUGCCGCCACGGCGGCGAAGUGAUCGGAAGUGCUUCCAAGAAAAGCCUCUAAGCACCAGUCUGACGCGGACCGUACCGCAAACCGACACUGGUGGGCGAGCUGAAUAUGCUCAGGCGCUUGAGAGAACUCGGGAGAAGGAACUCGGCAAAUUGACACCGUAACUUCGGAAGAAGGUGUGCCGUAGUACCGUGAGAGGAGAGACACCUUGAGCGGGAAUCGGUCUCAGAGAAUAGGUGGCUGCGACUGUUUAUUAAAAACACAGCACUCUGCAAAGUCGAAAGACGACGUAUAGGGUGUGAUGCCUGCCCGGUGCUGGAAGAUUAAUUGAUGGGGUGAGAGCCCUUGAUCGAAGUCCCAGUAAACGGCGGCCGUAACUAUAACGGUCCUAAGGUAGCGAAAUUCCUUGUCGGGUAAGUUCCGACCUGCACGAAUGGCAUAACGAUGGCCACACUGUCUCCUCCCGAGACUCAGUGAAGUUGAAAUGUUUGUGAUGAUGCAAUCUACCCGCGGCUAGACGGAAAGACCCCAUGAACCUUUACUGCAGCUUUGCAUUGAACUGUGAACCGAUUUGUGUAGGAUAGGUGGGAGGCAGAGAAGAGGCCACGCCAGUGGUCUUGGAGCCGACCUUGAAAUACCACCCUGAUUUGUUUGCGGUUCUAACCACGGACAGUGAUCCUGUCUUGGGACCGUGCAUGGUAGGCAGUUUGACUGGGGCGGUCUCCUCCUAAAGGGUAACGGAGGAGUACGAAGGUACGCUAGGUACGGUCGGAAAUCGUGCUGAUAGUGCAAUGGCAAAAGCGUGCUUGACUGCGAGAGCAACAACUCGAGCAGAUGCGAAAGCAGGUCAUAGUGAUCCGGUGGCUCUGAAUGGAAGGGCCAUCGCUCAACGGAUAAAAGGUACUCUGGGGAUAACAGGCUGAUACCGCCCAAGAGUUCAUAUCGACGGCGGUGUUUGGCACCUCGAUGUCGGCUCAUCUCAUCCUGGGGCUGUAGUCGGUCCCAAGGGUAUGGCUGUUCGCCAUUUAAAGAGGUACGUGAGCUGGGUUUAAAACGUCGUGAGACAGUUUGGUCCCUAUCUGCCGUGGGCGUUGGAAGAUUGACGGGGGCUGCUCCUAGUACGAGAGGACCGGAGUGGACGCACCUCUGGUGUACCGGUUGUCACGCCAGUGGCAUUGCCGGGUAGCUAAGUGCGGAAGAGAUAACCGCUGAAAGCAUCUAAGCGGGAAACUUGCCUGAAGAUGAGUCUUCCCGGAGGUAAAACCUCCCUCAAGAGUCGUCCGAGACCAGGACGUCGAUAGGUCAGGUGUGUAAGCGCUGUGAGGCGUUGAGCUAACUGAUACUAAUUGCUCGUGAGGCUUGAUCCU